RNAcentral lists this ribosomal RNA (253 nucleotides) under uncultured Armatimonadota bacterium. RNAcentral's name for it is "uncultured Armatimonadetes bacterium partial 16S ribosomal RNA". It matches the Rfam family "Bacterial small subunit ribosomal RNA", at positions 524 to 776 of the family's 1533-position model. The record is from RNAcentral. Lineage: Bacteria; Bacillati; Armatimonadota.
UACGUAGGGGGCAAGCGUUGUCCGGAAUUACUGGGCGUAAAGCGCGUGUAGGCGGGGCGGCAAGUCGGACGUGAAAGCCCCCGGCUCAACCGGGGAGGGCCGUUGGAAACUGUCGCUCUUGAGGGCCGAAGAGGAGAGUGGAAUUCCUGGUGUAGCGGUGAAAUGCGUAGAGAUCAGGAGGAACACCCAUGGCGAAGGCAGCUCUCUGGUCGGCCCCUGACGCUGAGACGCGAAAGCGUGGGGAGCGAACGGG